Molecule: transfer RNA, 72 nt
Filed under: Rasbora daniconius (slender rasbora)
Lineage: Eukaryota; Metazoa; Chordata; Actinopteri; Cypriniformes; Danionidae
Description: tRNA-Asp
Rfam family: tRNA
About the family: Transfer RNA (tRNA) molecules are approximately 80 nucleotides in length. Their secondary structure includes four short double-helical elements and three loops (D, anti-codon, and T loops). Further hydrogen bonds mediate the characteristic L-shaped molecular structure. tRNAs have two regions of fundamental functional importance: the anti-codon, which is responsible for specific mRNA codon recognition, and the 3' end, to which the tRNAs corresponding amino acid is attached (by aminoacyl-tRNA synthetases). tRNAs cope with the degeneracy of the genetic code in two manners: having more than one tRNA (with a specific anti-codon) for a particular amino acid; and 'wobble' base-pairing, i.e. permitting non-standard base-pairing at the 3rd anti-codon position.
Source: RNAcentral
GAGGUAUUAGUAAAAUAGACAUUACGUCACUUUGUCAAAGUGGAAUUAUGGGAUAAAUCCCCAUAUACCUCU